GGUUAAGCGACUAAGCGUACACGGUGGAUGCCCUGGCAGUCAGAGGCGAUGAAGGACGUGCUAAUCUGCGAAAAGCGUCGGUAAGGUGAUAUGAACCGUUAUAGCCGGCGAUGUCCGAAUGGGGAAACCCAGUGUGAUUCGUCACACUAUCGUUAACUGAAUACAUAGGUUAACGAGGCGAACCGGGGGAACUGAAACAUCUAAGUACCCCGAGGAAAAGAAAUCAACCGAGAUUCCCCCAGUAGCGGCGAGCGAACGGGGAGCAGCCCAGAGUCUGAAUCAGCUUGUGUGUUAGUGGAACGGUCUGGAAAGUCCGACGGUACAGGGUGAUAGUCCCGUACACCAAAAUGCACAGGCUGUGAACUCGAAGAGUAGGGCGGGACACGUGGUAUCCUGUCUGAAUAUGGGGGGACCAUCCUCCAAGGCUAAAUACUCCUGACUGACCGAUAGUGAACCAGUACCGUGAGGGAAAGGCGAAAAGAACCCCGGCGAGGGGAGUGAAAAAGAACCUGAAACCGUGUACGUACAAGCAGUGGGAGCACCUUCGGGUGUGACUGCGUACCUUUUGUAUAAUGGGUCAGCGACUUAUAUUCUGUAGCAAGGUUAACCGUAUAGGGGAGCCGCAGGGAAACCGAGUCUUAACUGGGCGUUAAGUUGCAGGGUAUAGACCCGAAACCCGGUGAUCUAGCCAUGGGCAGGUUGAAGGUUGGGUAACACUAACUGGAGGACCGAACCGACUAAUGUUGAAAAAUUAGCGGAUGACUUGUGGCUGGGGGUGAAAGGCCAAUCAAACCGGGAGAUAGCUGGUUCUCCCCGAAAGCUAUUUAGGUAGCGCCUCGUGAACUCAUCUUCGGGGGUAGAGCACUGUUUCGGCUAGGGGGUCAUCCCGACUUACCAACCCGAUGCAAACUACGAAUACCGAAGAAUGUUAUCACGGGAGACACACGGCGGGUGCUAACGUCCGUCGUGAAGAGGGAAACAACCCAGACCGCCAGCUAAGGUCCCAAAGUCAUGGUUAAGUGGGAAACGAUGUGGGAAGGCACAGACAGCCAGGAUGUUGGCUUAGAAGCAGCCAUCAUUUAAAGAAAGCGUAAUAGCUCACUGGUCGAGUCGGCCUGCGCGGAAGAUGUAACGGGGCUAAACCAUGCACCGAAGCUGCGGCAGCGACACUAUGUGUUGUUGGGUAGGGGAGCGUUCUGUAAGCCUGCGAAGGUGACCUGUGAGGGUUGCUGGAGGUAUCAGAAGUGCGAAUGCUGACAUAAGUAACGAUAAAGCGGGUGAAAAGCCCGCUCGCCGGAAGACCAAGGGUUCCUGUCCAACGUUAAUCGGGGCAGGGUGAGUCGACCCCUAAGGCGAGGCCGAAAGGCGUAGUCGAUGGGAAACAGGUUAAUAUUCCUGUACUUGGUGUUACUGCGAAGGGGGGACGGAGAAGGCUAUGUUAGCCGGGCGACGGUUGUCCCGGUUUAAGCAUGUAGGCUGGUUAUCCAGGCAAAUCCGGAUAAUCAAGGCUGAGGUGUGAUGACGAGGCACUACGGUGCUGAAGUAACAAAUGCCCUGCUUCCAGGAAAAGCCUCUAAGCAUCAGGUAACAUCAAAUCGUACCCCAAACCGACACAGGUGGUCAGGUAGAGAAUACCAAGGCGCUUGAGAGAACUCGGGUGAAGGAACUAGGCAAAAUGGUGCCGUAACUUCGGGAGAAGGCACGCUGGUGUGUAGGUGAAGUCCCUGCGGAUGGAGCUGAGACCAGUCGAAGAUACCAGCUGGCUGCAACUGUUUAUUAAAAACACAGCACUGUGCAAACACGAAAGUGGACGUAUACGGUGUGACGCCUGCCCGGUGCCGGAAGGUUAAUUGAUGGGGUUAUCCGUAAGGAGAAGCUCUUGAUCGAAGCCCCGGUAAACGGCGGCCGUAACUAUAACGGUCCUAAGGUAGCGAAAUUCCUUGUCGGGUAAGUUCCGACCUGCACGAAUGGCGUAAUGAUGGCCAGGCUGUCUCCACCCGAGACUCAGUGAAAUUGAACUCGCUGUGAAGAUGCAGUGUACCCGCGGCAAGACGGAAAGACCCCGUGAACCUUUACUAUAGCUUGACACUGAACAUUGAGCCUUGAUGUGUAGGAUAGGUGGGAGGCUUUGAAGCGUGGACGCCAGUCUGCGUGGAGCCAACCUUGAAAUACCACCCUUUAAUGUUUGAUGUUCUAACGUUGGCCCCUUACCGGGGUUGCGGACAGUGUCUGGUGGGUAGUUUGACUGGGGCGGUCUCCUCCCAAAGCGUAACGGAGGAGCACGAAGGUUAGCUAAUCCUGGUCGGACAUCAGGAGGUUAGUGCAAUGGCAUAAGCUAGCUUGACUGCGAGCGUGACGGCGCGAGCAGGUGCGAAAGCAGGUCAUAGUGAUCCGGUGGUUCUGAAUGGAAGGGCCAUCGCUCAACGGAUAAAAGGUACUCCGGGGAUAACAGGCUGAUACCGCCCAAGAGUUCAUAUCGACGGCGGUGUUUGGCACCUCGAUGUCGGCUCAUCACAUCCUGGGGCUGAAGUAGGUCCCAAGGGUAUGGCUGUUCGCCAUUUAAAGUGGUACGCGAGCUGGGUUUAGAACGUCGUGAGACAGUUCGGUCCCUAUCUGCCGUGGGCGCUGGAGAAUUGAGGGGGGCUGCUCCUAGUACGAGAGGACCGGAGUGGACGCAUCACUGGUGUUCGGGUUGUCAUGCCAAUGGCACUGCCCGGUAGCUAAAUGCGGAAGAGAUAAGUGCUGAAAGCAUCUAAGCACGAAACUUGCCCCGAGAUGAGUUCUCCCUGAGACUUUAAGUCUCCUGAAGGAACGUUGAAGACGACGACGUUGAUAGGCCGGGUGUGUAAGCGCAGCGAUGCGUUGAGCUAACCGGUACUAAUGAACCGUGAGGCUUAACCUU
RNAcentral lists this ribosomal RNA (2902 nucleotides) under Klebsiella pneumoniae. RNAcentral's name for it is "23S ribosomal RNA". It matches the Rfam family "Bacterial large subunit ribosomal RNA". Lineage: Bacteria; Pseudomonadati; Pseudomonadota; Gammaproteobacteria; Enterobacterales; Enterobacteriaceae. The record is from RNAcentral.